RNAcentral lists this ribosomal RNA (489 nucleotides) under uncultured bacterium. RNAcentral describes it as "bacterial SSU rRNA". It matches the Rfam family "Bacterial small subunit ribosomal RNA", at positions 30 to 507 of the family's 1533-position model. The record is from RNAcentral.
UGAACGCUGGCGGCAUGCCUAAGACAUGCAAGUCGAACGAGAAGGCCCAUAGAAGACGGAGUGCUUGCACAAAGUUGGAAAUGGAUUCCCUUCUAGUGGCAAACGGGUGAGUAACACGUGGGUUACCUACCUCUAAGACGGGGGAUAACAGUUGGAAACGAUUGCUAAUACCGGAUGUGCUCUACGGAGUAAAGAAGCCCUCAAAGCUUUAUGUGCUGAAAGAUGGUCUCGCGUCUGAUUAGCUAGAUGGCGGGGUAACGGCCCACCAUGGCGACGAUCAGUAGCCGGUCUGAGAGGAUGAACGGCCACAUUGGGACUGAGAUACGGCCCAGACUCCUACGGGAGGCAGCAGUGGGGAAUAUUGCACAAUGGAGGAAACUCUGAUGCAGCAACGCCGCGUGAGGGAAGAAGGUUUUCGGAUUGUAAACCUCUGUUUUAGUGAAGAAACAAAUGACGGUAGCUAAAGAGGAAGCCACGGCUAACUACGUG